GGCACCUUGCAUUGUGCGUACGCGUGUGUGCGCGACAGGUGAAGGAUGUGCUCAUAGUGGGCACGUCCCAUCUGGGUGGGGCACAGGUCCAGACCUGUGUGUGCGUCUUGUCGCGCGCAGGCGGGCCUGUUUGUGUGUGCCACAUCGCAUGUGGAUAGGGGCUAGACAAUGAACACUGUGUGUGUGCCGUCCGCACUAGCUUGCAUGUGAUAGGGUAGCUUGGUGCCUACAGGCUAGGCCUACAGCACUCACUGGCCGAGUGAGGCACACUGCUACAACAGGCAGUGUGCCGCUGCCAGUUAAGGAAAAUUCUCCUCAAUUUUUUGUGUCGCGUUAAAUCAAGCAUCUUUCCAUUUCAACACACACUCUCUUCACUGGAUUUUGCCAUUUGGCAUAAAUUCGACUGUCCCCAUUUUCUAUAAAUAGGGGUCCUUCUUCCCAU
This 442-nucleotide long non-coding RNA is filed under the name Carica papaya (papaya). Its description in RNAcentral is "long non-coding RNA (CPAP_LNC010182)". The record is from RNAcentral. Lineage: Eukaryota; Viridiplantae; Streptophyta; Magnoliopsida; Brassicales; Caricaceae.